Molecule: ribosomal RNA, 332 nt
Filed under: bacterium enrichment culture clone ALO1_GLFRUDD03FVUYW
Lineage: Bacteria
Description: bacterial SSU rRNA
Rfam family: Bacterial small subunit ribosomal RNA
Source: RNAcentral
GAGUUUGAUCAUGGCUCAGAUUGAACGCUGGCGGCAGGCCUAACACAUGCAAGUCGAGCGGAUGACGGGAGCUUGCUCCUUGAUUCAGCGGCGGACGGGUGAGUAAUGCCUAGGAAUCUGCCUGGUAGUGGGGGACAACGUUUCGAAAGGAACGCUAAUACCGCAUACGUCCUACGGGAGAAAGCAGGGGACCUUCGGGCCUUGCGCUAUCAGAUGAGCCUAGGUCGGAUUAGCUAGUUGGUGGGGUAAUGGCUCACCAAGGCGACGAUCCGUAACUGGUCUGAGAGGAUGAUCAGUCACACUGGAACUGAGACACGGUCCAGACUCCGUAC